AUGGAGCGUCCGCGACGUUCGGCGUGCGUGAGCUCGCGACUGCAGCGACAGCGACAGCCGACGGUCCAUCUUGUAUAUACGUUGGGCCUAUUGAGACUGCAAGUAAAGAAACCCUAGAAGCUCUCUAUCGUCAAGNCAGUGGUGAACCUUUGAUAGUUGAUGACAUGUUUGAUAGAGUAGAGUUAAAAUUGCGGCGGUAUGGUUCAAAAUCUGUGGUUAAGUAUCCUCGUUGCAGUAUUAGGCGACAAUCCACCUAUGCAAAUGCAAGAAAGAUGAUCCAUAUGCUAGCUAGUGCAAAAGCCUGAGAUAUAUCUUCCU
This 318-nucleotide unclassified non-coding RNA is filed under the name Hevea brasiliensis (rubber tree). The record is from RNAcentral. Lineage: Eukaryota; Viridiplantae; Streptophyta; Magnoliopsida; Malpighiales; Euphorbiaceae.